This 310-nucleotide ribosomal RNA is filed under the name uncultured bacterium. Its description in RNAcentral is "bacterial SSU rRNA". It matches the Rfam family "Bacterial small subunit ribosomal RNA", at positions 30 to 334 of the family's 1533-position model. The record is from RNAcentral.
AUUGAACGCUGGUGGUAUGCUUAACACAUGCAAGUCGAACGGCAGCAUUACUCUGCUUGCAGAGUAGAUGGCGAGUGGCGGACGGGUGAGUAACGCGUAGGAAUCUGUCUUAGAGUUGGGGAUAACACGGGGAAACUCGUGCUAAUACCGCAUAACAUUUACGAAUCAAAGCUGGGGAUCUUCGGACCUGGCGCUUUAAGAUGAGCCUGCGUUGGAUUAGCUAGUUGGUGGGGUAAGAGCUCACCAAGGCGACGAUCCAUAGCUGUUCUGAGAGGAAGAUCAGCCACACUGGGACUGAGACACGGCCCAG